AAUUAGAUUUUCAUAGUACAGGCAUAUCAAUGGGAUUUUGAGCUUUUAUGUAGGUCCUAUUUACCCACUGAACUCUCAUUAUUCACAUAUGACAAGGUAAAAUCGGUUUUGCAUUCUAUCACCC
Etheostoma spectabile (orangethroat darter) is the source of this 124-nucleotide long non-coding RNA. RefSeq lists it as uncharacterized. The record is from RefSeq and is a predicted model, not a curated record. The transcript has 3 exons. NCBI's taxonomy places the organism in Eukaryota, Metazoa, Chordata, Actinopteri, Perciformes, Percidae.